AUGACUGCAUGGAGCGCCGUUACCUUCCCGCCAGAGCAGUACCUAUUGAUCUACUCACACUCUGGGGGUUGGUGCUCAUCUCCAUUUCUAAGCCGAAGAGCUGGUGUUGUCCGUAGACACCUCCAAGGUCAUGUGGCCAUAGGCAUGACUGCAUGGAGCGCCGUUACCUUCCCGCCAGAGCAGUACCUAUUGAUCUACUCACACUCUGGGGGUUGGUGCUCAUCUCCAUUUCUAAGCCGAAGAGCCAGCGUUGUCCGUAGACACCUCCAAGGUCAUGUGGCCAUUGGCAUGACUGCAUGGAGCGCCGUUACCUUCCCGCCAGAGCAGUACCUAUUGAUCUACUCACACUCUGGGGGUUGGUGCUCAUCUCCAUUUCUAAGCCGAAGAGCUGGUGUUGUCCGUAGACACCUCCAAGGUCAUGUGGCCAUAGGCAUGACUGCAUGGAGCGCCGUUACCUUCCCGCUGGAGAGGUACCUAUUGAUCUACUCACACUCUGGGGGUUGGUGCUCAUCUCCAUUUCUAAGCCGAAGAGCCAGCGUUGUCCGUAGACACCUCCAAGGUCAUGUGGCCAUUGGCAUGACUGCAUGGAGCGCCGUUACCUUCCCGCCAGAGCAGUACCUAUUGAUCUACUCACACUCUAGGGGUUGGUGCUCAUCUCCAUUUCUAAGCCGAAGAGCUGGUGUUGUCCGUAGACACCUCCAAGGUCAUGUGGCCAUAGGCAUGACUGCAUGGAGCGCCGUUACCUUCCCGCUGGAGAGGUACCUAUUGAUCUACUCACACUCUGGGGGUUUGUGCUCAUCUCCAUUUCUAAGCCGAAGAGCCAGCGUUGUCCGUAGACACCUCCAAGGUCAUGUGGCCAUUGGCAUGACUGCAUGGAGCGCCGUUACCUUCCCGCCAGAGCAGUACCUAUUGAUCUACUCACACUCUGGGGGUUUGUGCUCAUCUCCAUUUCUAAGCCGAAGAGCCAGCGUUGUCCGUAGACACCUCCAAGGUCAUGUGGCCAUUGGCAUGACUGCAUGGAGCGCCGUUACCUUUUUUUUUUUUUUUUUAAAUAUGUUUUUAUUGUAG
RNAcentral lists this long non-coding RNA (1068 nucleotides) under Anolis carolinensis (green anole). RNAcentral's name for it is "lncRNA (ENSACAG00000029146.2)". The record is from RNAcentral. Lineage: Eukaryota; Metazoa; Chordata; Lepidosauria; Squamata; Anolidae.